This 13139-nucleotide long non-coding RNA is filed under the name Prunus persica (peach). RNAcentral's name for it is "long non-coding RNA (PPER_LNC007113)". Lineage: Eukaryota; Viridiplantae; Streptophyta; Magnoliopsida; Rosales; Rosaceae. The record is from RNAcentral.
UCAAAACCGCCAUAGGAUCAGCUCACACAGACGGUGGCAUUAAAAUAGAAAAAAACGUCAGCCAGGAAACCAGGGAAGGGAUCGCUAUAGGAAGUGACCACUGGGAGUCUAUCUGCCAUAAUUGAUAAAAAUCUUUCCUGCUUUACGUUUUGAGAAAUCUUUUGCCGCCCAUUAUUAAAAUUUAAAACCACCUUCAAAAGGAGGGUCUCUUAUAAAAACAGAAGCAGGCAAGAAAGAAAGGACACUCAACUCAUCAACCAAAAAAAACAACAGCAAGAAAAACAGCCAAGAGCUCACUUAAAUUCCAAGAGGAACCAACCUUAAAUCAGAAUUCCAAGGUUCAGACUUAGAAAACAAAUUUCCUAGAACGAGAUCCCUCGUUACAAAUUUGGUUCAGCAAAAGCCAAGACAAACAUAGUUUGAGUUUUCACAACUAUGAAAACCUUAACAAAUUUUACAGCAUGGUUCCAGCUUGCUAAAUCCUCGAGAAUAGCCACUUCUGUCCCUUCAGACUGAAGAAGUCACAGUUCUGCCCGCUCAAGAGCCUCCCAAGGCUUGAAGUAGAUUGAAGCUCUGCCAAAAUCGAACUUUGGUAUCGAUUUACAGCUGAAGCCAAGCAGCUAAAGUUGUUGACAGUACAGUCCAGCAUAGACAUACCCAGUCCAGCCCGGAUCAGAAGUUUCUACCCAGGCAGAAAUGGGAUUCCAACCAUCCUUUUGCCUUCCUAGAGUUGAUUUCUCCCUUCUUAAUUUUGUAAAAGGCAGUUCUGCCUGAAACAGUACUUUAUUAUUAUCUAUUCUGGCCAGAACAACCAUUUUUGGUACUGAGAUAAAUUGUGAAAGUCCUCACCAGUCUGAGGCAAGAAAAGAACUUACUUGGGAGAUAUUCCUCACCCAAAUUCACAAUCGUUUGUUUUAGAAGUCAGUAACUUGAGGCGCAAGUUAUCCACUCUAAAAAUAAGUCUGCUAGAAUUUACAUUGCUAGCAGUGGCACGCUCGCACACCAAAGAAAGCUGACUUGUCGACCAACAAGUGGUCUCCAAGCCAGUGGGGAACUUCGCCCUUCCACAUCAGGAGUUAAACACGAAAACGGGUGAACAAUUUGGCAUGCCCAGUGGGACUUCUCAGUAUACAUACUCUGACAGAGUCAUUCACAGAUUUACAAAAGCCGGAAGAUCUAGUCAGAACCCACACCAGACAUGGAGAAAAACAAGAUGGUUCUCAGAGAAGGCCUCGAAUCGGAAGAAAGCGACGCUAGGCAGUCUGCCCACGGCAGUACAGGAAGCAGACGUUCCAGGACUGGCUCCAAAAGGAUGAGCCAAAUAAAGGAGUCAGUACUCCGACAAGAGAUCACAGUACAAAGGAGCCAGGACACUCUCGAUAACAUGACAGCCAUGAUGCAAUGGCAGGUAAACAGGCAGUUCCGGAAGGACCGAGAAUCCGCCAUGGCCAGAAAUCCAAACCCAGAUCCUGUAAUCCAGCAGUUGGAUCUUCCUUAUGGCCCUCCGCCAGGACUAAUAUGGCCAUAUCAGGAAAAUCUUCUAGUUGCACAGAUGGCUGGAGUGCCAGGCCACACAGAAGUUCAGGCUGAUCCGAGGGAGAGAGCCCUUCCUAAUCAAGAACAUCAGGCCCCAGCCCAGCCAGAUAACCUGACACUGGCUCAGAACCAGCUAGGACCUCAGCCCAAUUCACAUCAUGCAGCCCCGCAUGAUCAACCUUUGGCGCUUCUGCCUGAACCACCGGCAGUAUUGCCAUAUAGACCCAGAAGGAUGGACCCUAAUCCAUUCCCUCCACCUGCAAGAGGGAGGAGAGGCCGAGGGGGAAACAACCUUUUUGCUAAUCAUGACAGGAAUAGACAGGGGGCAAACUGGAGGAAUCAUCCAGAAGUCGAAGAGCAGGAAGAACACAGGGAGGAAGUUCCACCCAGACCACUCAGGGCAGAACCCAGGUUUGAUUACGUUCAGCCAGAAUAGGGACAAAAUUUUCCCCCAGUCAAUGCUUUAAAUGACGUAGGGGCAUUGCGAAGAAUGGUCAGAGAGAUCAUGGAACCCGAGGCUAGAAGAGGGGAAAGGCCUACUUACAGAAAGCCAUACCCAGCCUACAUCGAUCAAAUACCGUUGUCUCCAGGUUUCAAAGUGCCAAACUUCACUUUGUUCAACGGGGAAGACCCUCAUGCUUCCUCAGUCGAACAUAUAGGCAGGUUCUCCGUCCAAUGCAUAGCUAUAGAAAACAACCCUCUGCUGAAAUUAAGGCUUUUUGGCAACUCUCUCUCUGGGCAAGCUUUUACCUGGUACACCAGCCUGCCAGCUAACUCUGUUCAAACCUGGGAACAGAUGGAAAAUGUCUUCCAUGACUACUAUUACAGGAUUCAGCCAGAAGUCACCAUCAGUGAUCUAGCUGCCCUCAAGCAGAGUGAAGAUGAACCGGUGCAAGAUUUUAUAACCAGGUUCAGAAGGCUCAAGAUGAAGUGCCGAAUCCCAAUGGAAGAAAGACACUUCAUCCAGAUGGCCCAAGCCGCCCUUAAAAUCUCCCUCAGGAAAAGGUUCGACGGGAUAUUGUUCGGAGAUCUGGCAGAACUGGCUGAUAAGGCAUCCAAAUAUGAAGAGCUACUCAGGGAAGAGCAGCAAAGGAGGAACUCCUCCAAAGGUACAUACUACAAAACCCCUUCUUCUUCAGUCCACCUGAUCGAGGUGGAGUCGCAAGAAGAUACAGAGGAAUCAGAGGAGAAAGAGGUUUCAGUGGCAGAAAUGGCAAAAUUGAAACAUCCCAUCAGUUGCAAAGCCCUCACAAAGCCACCCAAAGACCAAAAGCCACCAUCAUUCACAGGAGGAUUCGUUCCAAACAAACCAACACAAAACAAGGUUUACUCUUUUAACUUAACCAAGGUCGAUGCCUUGUUCAACGAAAUGCUACUGCAGAAGGCAAUAGAGACGCCUCACAGAAUACCGAAGCCGGAAGAACUCAAAGGCAGACAGUACUGCAGGUGGCACAACUCUUGGAACCAUUCUACCAAUAGUUGUGUCGUUUUCAGGGACGUAGUACAAGAAGGAAUAACGGCAGGAAGGUUGAAGCUGGCAGAAAAACCACCAUCCGUCACGACGGAUCCUUUUCCUCAACCGCAAGUCAAUAUGGUCAACUUAAAUUGGCCAGAACAGAGGAAAAUCGACCCUAUCACAGAUGCUUGUUGCAGCAGAGGCAGAAGAAUCAUAAGGGAGACCAGUCAGAUACCAAGAGCGACCAUCUCGGCUGGGGUGGUGCUCUGCAGUAGGUGCAAGUGUGAAACAGAGCUAGAGGUGGUCCUAGACAAGCAAAAUCAGCCCACAUCUAGUGUCUUUGACAGAAUUGGAACUAUAUCCCAAGACAAGACAAGGCAGAAGAGCUGUCUUAGGCCUACACACUACAGCGAGAGGAGGAUGGAGCAACCCAGGAAGGAAAUAUCAGUCAAGACGCCCGGAAACGAAAGACCCUUGGCAACGAUCAUAGAAGGGAGGUGGUAUUCCGUAGGAAGAAGCGGUAGACCGACUCUGGAGCUGACCAGAACCCAGAAGAGAAGAAUCCAGAGCCAAUACUGCACAUAUCUUAAAAGCCAAGACAAUACGCAGGUACGUCCACAACCCAGUUCUGCCAGGAAAGGAAAGAAUCCUGAAACACUUCCCCAGACAGAACAGAAAGCUUGCCAGUCAAGGGAAUUGCUGAAAACAGAGCAGCCAGCCAGGUCUCCUAUCCAUAUAGCCUCGUCGUCCGGCAGCCAUCCUGACACCACGCGGACAUUAGAGAAAUCCGGGUCUACCCCGUUACAAAAAGAAGACGACUACGCUGAGGAAUAUGAAGAAGAGCAAUUAGACUAUGAACCUUCUGCAGAUGAUCAGAAAGAGCCCCUCGAAGUAGCAGAACAGGAAAGAGCCCCUCGAAGUAGCAGAACAGGAUGACUGGACGGAAGAAUAUGGGGAAGAAUUAAUGGAAUUUGGUGAGGAAUUGGACCCAGAAACAGAAGCUUUUGGCGCAGAAUUAGAAGACCUCCUACAGGGUGAUCUGGGAAUUAACAUGGUAUUCAUCCUACCAGGUGAAUUCAGGGCUACCGAAGGACAAAAAAGCACUCUGGAAGGGGACGUUUUCUCCCAGGAGAGCUUUGAGUGUAGGUUGGCAGAAGCAGAGGAGCCGCCAGAACCGCAAGCAGACGGCCCUAGGACAGGCAGAACAGCCAAUAAACCAGCUACAGAGCAGGCUUGUUUCGCCAAGCUAACCAGAGAAAUGGCAAAUCACCUCAGACCGUUGUUUAUAACGGCAAAUCUUGGAGGUAUUCCUAUCUCCAAUAUCAUGGUAGAUGGAGGUGCAGCCAUUAAUCUAUUACCCCACAGAAUGCUGACCAAGUUGGGCAGGACAGAGAGGGAUCUAAUUCCAACACGAUUAACCGUCACCAACUUCGCUGGGGGCAUCACCAAAAUACACGGCAUCUUAGAUGUAGAUGUCGUAGUCGGAAGCAAAGAGUUGAAAAUAGCAUUCUUUGUUAUAGACACUACCUCCACCACCUACAAUGCACUACUCGGCAGGGAUUGGAUUCACCAGAGCCUUUGUAUCCCUUCCACCCUCCACCAGCAGUUAGCAAUAUGGAAUGAAGAAGGCUGCAUGGAGAUUAUAGAGGCCGAUCCACGGCCAUUCCUACCCUCUGCCAUGUGCUUUGAAGCAAGGUAUUAUCAUGAUGACCUCGGUCCCUACACUUUCCUUGGAGUCAAUCAGAACGGCCGCCCCCAUGGUGUCACGGCCCAAAGACUCAUUGAAGAAGGUCUAGCCAGUUCUCUAGAGGACUGGAAUAGACUUUCUUGUGCCGAACUUCCAGAAUUCUGAUGCUUAGUCCCAAUCAACUGGACAAGGAUCGAGCUGCAACAAUCCGAUCCAUCACAAAAAGAUUGUUGAUAUACUGGGGAGAAAUGAGACUUUUCAUACAGAAUCCAGCCAUUAAUAUGGCAGAAUUCACCCAUGAAAGCAUAAAAGAACAAGAGGAAGAAGUUUUACAGGAGGAAGUGUUGGAAUUUGCACCGGCAGCACUAGAUGACUCCCUGCCAGAAGUAGAGGACCCUCUACAGGAGAUAAACUUAGGGACAGAAGAAGAUCCAAGGCCUACUUUCAUCAGUACACUGUUAAAGGAACCACUCAAGGCUGAACUCACGGCACUUUUGCAGGAGUUCAGAGAUUGUUUUGCCUGGCAUUACCACGAGAUGCUAGGAUUGGACAGGCAGUUAGUGGAGCACAAGCUGCCAAUUAAAGAUGGCUACCUUCCAGUCAAACAGGCCAGAAGAAGAAUGUCUAUGGACACAGAACUAAAGGUCAAAGAAGAGAUAGAAAGGUUGCUCAAGGCAGGAUUCAUCAGGCCAGCCGUCUAUGCCGAUUGGUUAGCAAAUAUUGUACCUGUUCUCAAAAGAAAAACAGGGGCAGUUAGAAUCUGCGUAGAUUACAGGAAUCUGAAUGAGGCAUCUCCUAAAGACGAAUAUCCUAUGCCAAUGGCAGACAUGUUAGUGGAUGGAGCCGCUCAUAACCAGAUGCUAUCUUUCAUGGACGGCAAUGCAGGUUAUAACCAGAUUAUGAUGGCAGAACAGGACAUCCACAAGACAGCCUUUAUGUGUCCAGGACAUAUAGGUGCUUUCGAGUAUACUGUAAUGCCUUUCGGUUUGAGAAAUGCGGGAGCUACCUACCAAAGGGCAAUGAAUUCUAUUUUUCAUGAUAUGAUAGGACAUUCUUUGGAAGUAUACAUAGAUGACGUGGUGAUUAAAUCCCCUGAGGAAGGAAAUCACGUAGCAAGUCUGAGAAAGGCAUUCCUGAGAAUGAGGCAGCACAAGCUAAAAAUGAACCCCAAAAAAUGUGUUUUUGGAGUCCAGGCAGGGAAUUUCUUAGGAUUCUUGGUCCACCAAAGAGGUAUAGAGGUUGACAGAAAUAAAGCAAAAUCCAUCAUAGAAGCUCUACCACCUCGGAACAAGAAGGAACUUCAGAGUCUCUUAGGAAAAAUCAAUUUCCUAAGGAGAUUCAUAUCCAAUUCUGCAGGAAAAAUCCAACCCUUUUCCUCCCUGUUGAGACUGAAGCAGGAACAGACAUUCAAAUGGGAAGAACAGCACCAACAGGCUUUCCAGGAAAUAAAGCAUUACCUCUCAAAUCCACCAGUUCUGUCCCCACCAAAAAGGGGCAGACCCCUCAAACUUUAUGUAUCUGCAUCAGAAGUAUCCAUUGGAAGUCUGCUAGUUCAAGAUAACAAAGAAGGAAAAGAACAGGCGGUCUACUAUCUAAGCAGAACGUUGACAGAAGUGGAAAGAAGGUAUUCCGCAAUAGAAAGGCUUUGCCUAGCCUUAUAUUUCACUGCUGUGAAGCUCAGGCACUACAUGCUGCCACAUACUAUCUACAUCAUUGCCAAAACCGACUUAAUCAAAUACAUGCUAACAAGACCAAUGCUGAGGGGCAGAAUUGGGAAAUGGACUUUGGCUUUGACAGAAUUCACCCUCAGGUAUGUCCCCCAGAAAGCUGUCAAAGGGCAAGCUGUGGCAGACUUUUUGGCAGAUCACCUGGGAGAGGAAAUUGAAAACAUGGAUUCUUUGGACAUAGCAAAUGCAGAUCUGUUAACUAGAGCUCAUGUUUGCCUUAACAAUCCAAUUUACUCGAUUCAUCUCACACCUUGGAAAUUAUAUUUUGAUGGAUCGAAGACAGACAAGGCUUCAGGAGCAGGGAUUGUUCUGGAAGAACCAUUAGGGGUCAGGCAUUGCUAUUCUUUCCAGCUAGAUUUCCAAUGCACCAACAACAGGGCCGAAUAUGAGGCUUUGAUUAUAGGGCUCGAAAUGUUGGUAGAAUUAGGAGUCCAGUCCGUGGAAAUCUUGGGAGAUUCCAUGCUUGUCCUAAAACAGAUUGCUGGAGAAUAUAAGUGUCUGAAUCCCUCUCUGGCUGUAUAUCUAGUGGCAGCUAGAAAUCUGCUAACAGAAUUUAGAGAAGCUACUUGGGAGCACAUCCCAAGGGAGAAAAACUUUGCAGCCAAUGAACUGGCUCAGGUGGCAUCAGGCAUACAAAUGCCCGAAGACUGCGUCCAAAGGAUCAUCAAGAUAGGAAGGAAAAGUCUACCAUCUGUUUUGACGAGAGGAAUGGAGAUAGAAGUCAAUUCUGCCUCGAUCACUGGAGAUGAGUGGAGGGAGCCUAUCAUGACUUACUUACGAUAUCCCACUCUGCCCUCUGAGAAAAGAGUCAGAAUCAUGGCUACAAACUACCUCAUGUGGAAUGAAGAUUUGGUCCGAAAAAGUAAGGAUGAGGUACUAUUAAGGUGCCUCGGGAAGACAGAAUACAUGAAAGUCAUGGGAGAAACCCAUGAGGGGGUCUGUGGAGCUCACCAAGGGGGAAGAAAGAUGUGCUGGUUAAUCAGAAGAUAUGGCUACUUCUGGCCAACCAUGAUGAAGGAUUGCAUCGACUAUUCCAAAGGAUGUGAAGCCUGUCAAAGGCACGGCCCAAUCCAGCAGGCUCCUUCGGUUCCCAUGAAUCCAGUAGUAAAACCAUGGCCUUUCAGGGGAUGGGCAAUGGAUCUCAUUGGCAAAAUCUAUCCAGCCAGCAACCAGCAGCACUGUUUCAUCAUCGUUGCCACAGAUUAUUUCACCAAGUGGGUAGAAGCCAAGCCAGUAAAAACCACAACAUCUCAAGAGAUCAUCACCUUCAUAGAAGAACAGAUCAUACAAAGGUUUGGCAUUCCAGAAUCAAUCACAACCGAUAGGGGUUCUUCUUUCAUAUCUAGGGACAUGCUAGAUAUGGCAGAAACAUUCAAGUUCAAACUGCUUCAAUCUACUCCUUACUAUGCUCAAGCUAAUGGACAGGCAGAAUCAAGUAACAAGGUGAUUAUCAAUAUCAUUAGAAAGAUGCUAGAGAAAAAUCCAAAGCAAUGGCACGAGAAGUUGUCAGAAACUUUGUGGGCAUACAGAACUUCGAAGAGAGAAGCGACUGGCAUGACCCCCUAUGCUCUAACCUACGGCCACGAUGCAAUUCUUCCCAUGGAGAUAGCAGUCCAGUCCCUUAGAAUUGCUCACCAGCAUGGUCUCACUGGGGAGGAUUACUCCCAAGCCAUGUUACUGGAAUUGGAAGGAUUGGAUGCAAGCAGAAUUGAUACCCUCAACAAACUCUUAGCAGGAAAACAGGCUGUAUCGAGAGCCUACAACAAAAGAGUCAAAAACAAGAGUUUUGAAGAGGGAGAGAUAGUCUGGAAGGCAAUUCUGCCCCUUGGAGCACACAUAGCUGGGUAUGGGAAAUGGUCACCUACAUGGGAAGGCCCUUUUAUAAUUAACCAAAUCCUCGGAAAGGAACAACAUUGACCUUUUUGUUUCUUGAAAGGGAAUCUUGUUUAGAUUUGUUUUUACUUUAAAGUUGUUCUGUUUUUACUGUACUUUCAAAACCGUGUCCGGUUAUUGCAUCAAGAAUAAAAAGCAGUAAAAAUGCUUUGAAAGCUUAUAUAAAAAUAGCCACCUUUACGGCAAAUUAUUCAAACAAAAGAAAGAAGAAGCUAAAAUCCUAGCUUUCUAAGAGUCUCCUGUAGGUUCGCUUUCUUGACAGACAGUUCUUUCUGGAGCAACACCCCCUGGUGAAUUGAAGCCUCUGCAAUUUCCAAAGCUGGCCUGGAAGCUGCAACCAUACUUUGCACAAGGAAGGUGGCCUUAGUUUUGGAACUCAGUCCAGCCCCAAGUUUGUUCUGCACCUCCCUACACUCUGCCAGCUGUUUUUGGAGUUCUUCAAUCUGCUUCUCCAACUUAUCCGCGGUAGCCUUAGCCUCCUUAUAUCCAGCCACCAUCUGAUCCAGUUCUGUUUUCUGCCUGGCAAAGUCAGCCAGAUUAGCUUUAUGUGUGGCCUUGCAGAACUCAGAAGUUUUGAACGUAGGCCUAAGAUCUUCAUAGCGAUCAUGCAGAUUAAGCACAUCUCUGGCCAGGCUUAGGCCCAUCUCAAGAAUAGGCCUCGGAGCCAUGUUCUGUCUAUGCAGCAGGUCCAGGUCCUUCAUCAGCUGAUCAAGAGCCCCUGUAUCUUCAUCAAAUUCCAGCUCAGUGGACUGCCAGAUUUUCAACCUCUCCAUGGCUUCCUCCACCGCCCUAGAUUUUGCCUUGCCUGGAGGAGAGCUGAGUUUCUCCAGUCUGUCCAAUUGGGCAUCCAGAUCCAUGGCUUCAAACUCUUCAAGUUCUGGAUCAGCAAAAGAAGCCGUGACAGAUGAUCCUGGAAAGGAAUGAAUAGGCAUCUGCAGAAGAGAACAUAAGCUAAGACCAGGCAGAAAGUGGAAGAUAAAGGAGGCUCGAAAGUUAUGAAAACUUACAACGACAAUGGGAGGCUUCAGAGGGCUGGACACCGCAGCCAGGGCACCAGUAGCUUUAGGCACUUCCACCUGGAAAGACUGCAAAUGUUAAAAAGACAGAACAGACAGAACAGCAGGAAAACAUGAACAGUUGAAGGGGAAAAUUACCACAACCACAGGAGCAGCUGCAGUCGUUCCCACCUCAGCCUCCGGGACCACAACGGUUAAUUCUGCCUGAUCCACGGGGUCUGAUGCAGAUGGCUCCACCUGAUCCUCGGCCUCUGGAGCGGCAGUAGAGUGUUCUGCCUCAGCAUCCUCAAAAAGAGCCAGUUCUGAGCUGGUCAGCUCAGCACUCGGACCCUUUUGUUGCUUCUGCGCCAAGGCAAUGCUCUCCGCUAUCACCUCAGCAGGAAUUUCAUCCUACAGGAAGGGGGUCAGAACAGAAGGAAUGAAGCAAAAGAGGAACUAAUGCGAGUCACAAACUAAAACUCACCUCGUCUUCCACCGCUGCCACCUUCUCUUGGGGCACCUCCUCCAGCUCUUGCAGCUCUUUUUCCUGCUCCACCUCCUCAAAGGCUUCUCGCAGCUCAUCGUCCGUCCCAGAAGUAGUGGCUGGGAUUGCUGCGGCUUCUUCUGCGGCAAAGUAUUCCACUUCACCCCUCUUCUUAAGCUUUUUUAACUUAGUAGGAGGAGGAGAAGGACUCCCAGCUGGACAGAACAAAAGGAAAAGAUUAGAAAACAGAAAACAGAAUAAAUCUAGAGAGAACAGUUGGAAUGCUCCAAACUUACCAGGAAUGCCAGGCCGCGUGGUAUUAUCCAGAGGGGGAGCAGGCCCUUUUCUUUUUCUUCUACCAGAAGGAACAGCCUCGGCAGGGGUUUGUUCUGCCUCAACAUCAUCCUCUUCAUCAGCAGAAGGGAGCUCCAAAUCCCCGGCGGCAAUGACAGAAGAGACUUGAGGACAAUCCAACAGGAAAAGACAGAAGAAAAAUAAAAAGGAAAGGCUUACCAAUCACUUCUCCAGCCUGGACAGACUGUCCACCCACGUUCUUUGUCAGGGAAGGAUCUAAUAACAGGCAGAACAUAGGUUAAAAACAGAUUAUCAAGACAGAACAAGUCCCAGACAGAAUCAAGUAUCUACCUUCUAUAAUUUGUGCAUUAAUGUCCUUGAUGGUCUGGAUCAUAUGCGCUUUGGCCUCCCCCUCCGCAAAAAGAUGCCAGUUCUCCCAGCCGUCAAAAAGCGUCUUGAGGACAGUAACAGAAGCUGGUAGAUUUUGGAAUCUGGUUUGCCACCAGGCGUCAAAAUCAGCAGAACUCCAGGAAUUUGGCUCCCAUGAGGGAUAGAGGGCAUCCGUGCUAUUAUUUAUCUUGUUCACUGCACACCGGGCAUCCUUGUGCACCUCCAGAUCAUCUACAUCCCUCCAAGAAGAGGCCCGAUUGCAACUCCGAUAUGAUUUCAAUGGUAUGAGCUGAGGGCAGCCAAGCUGCCUUGCACAGAAGUUGGGAUGAUAGACUUCUGCCCCCAGAUGAUAGUUUGGAGGUUUGCCCCCGCCAUGGGGCAGAUCUCUGGGCAAAGUAAUGCUCAGAAAUUUCUUCCUGAAACCUGUUCUGGCAGCCUCGUCUUCUGGUUCUUUCUCGAAAAGCCGAGAUCCAGUCUGGAACCAAGGAUAGGUCCUUCUGAUCACCACUUGCCACUGAGCAGCCGACCUCUUGGUACAAUGCCUGAAGAGCAUCAAAUACUCCUCAAGAGAGCGCUUGGGCACUUCUGCCGAUAUCAGGGGAAGGGCCAGAACUUGGUCUUCAGGCAGAACUAUGUCUGGAAACCUUAACUCGGGGAAAUAUACCUGCAGCCAGAUCUGGAUCAUCCAGAAUGCGCCAGGAGCAGACAGGUUCAAUGGAUUCUCAAGAGUGGCAGUAUACAGAUUCUUGAAAAGGUGGGCCAGAACUGUUGGUCCAAGCCCCACAUCAGUGUGAUUGUGAAGUGCUUCUGCCAGAUGUCUGUAUUCAAGCAGAACUGCCGAAGACCGAUUGGGGAAGACAAAUCGGUUCAGCCAAUACAGAAGGAACAACAUAUGUUGCUGAUCCUUGUCCUUCUCAACGCUGAAUCUCUUCAGAUAGUUGGAGAAGGAGCAGUUCUGGUUGAUCGUGGCUGGAGGGAUAGUGAAGGGAGUGGCCACUUUCUCCUGGUUCUUUCGCCUGUGAUAAUCCCCAACAGCAUCAACAGGUCUGCCAUGGGGCCUAAACCCAAAAAUCUGAGCCAUAUCCAGCAGAGUUGGAGCCAUGGGACCCACACGGAAAUCAAAUGUGUUGCUGGCAGAAUUCCAAAAACACAAGGCAGCAGCAAGCAGGUUCUCAUCUCUGUUAAUCGACUGCUUGGACAGAAGAAUGGCGUCAUAGAGCCCAGCUCUCCUCCAGUGACCCCCAUAUCUCGGGAGAAGUCUGUCAAUCCAGUCUGCCCAUUUGACUGGACUGUUCCUCACCUCGCUGGACGGGAAAGAUCGACUCAAAUUCUUGCUAACCCAAGAAUGAGAAGCCAGGGCGGAAGUACUCUCGAAGCACAAAGGAGCCUCGGCGUCCUUUUUCAGCAGUUCUGCCGCCUCAGCCGGAACAGGGCCAAACCAGUGAGGCCCCAGCACCAGGGUAUUCUCGAACAAAUGAAGAACAUUUUCAUCCAGAUUCUUCUGAGCAAAAGGAUGGAGCUUGCUCCUAACCUCUAUUGCGUGGGCAUCAAUCCCGCUCCCAGUGAUGUAAUCAGGAGGGAUUGAAGCUGAAGAAGACUGAGCAUGGGACCUUGGGGAAGACAUUUCGGAUUCAAGGAAGGAAGCAGAGAGAAAAGGGGGAAGUUCGAAGGAAACGAUGAAAACCCGAAGAGAAGUUCCAAGUUUGAAAGGCUAAGAGGCAGUGGGUCUGAAAUUUCUUUUAAAAGGGAAGGCUCGAAACGUGAGAGGAAGAAGAAGAUACGGCAGCUGGUGAUUAUUGGCUAGUAACUAGCCAAAUAAAUAGCCGUUUUUCUUCUCCCACGAACUCUAGAUCAUUAUGGGCGGACGUGACAGACGCACGAAGCGGAAAGGACUGGCGCGCAAAUUCAUGGCAAAAACAUUAAGUCUGAAAAACCGUUCCAAAAACAAGUUCAGACUUAAUGGGGGCAUUGUUUGGGCCUAAAUUUGACACACCAAAGAGAUCCAGAAACAGGCCCGUGGUGAAAUACUUAUCCAGUCCCAAAAAAACCCAAAACGUAGAAAGCUGUCAUAUUGGGCCUUUGAAGAUCAACCCACAAAAUAUUGUUUAAACUCAAGCCCAAGAGACUAAAGACACAUUCACGUGGCUACCUCACCUCUCUGGAAAGUCAGCAAUUCCAACUAGAGUUUUUAUGUGAGAAGGGACGUUUCUGAAAACACUGCCGAGAAAGAAAAAUCAAAGGGGCGUCUAUGAUCAGAGACUUUUUGCUCCAAAGCAACACACUAUCUUCUAAAAAGAUUUCGCAAAUCACGUUUUCAAGAGCAAGAAACAGGGUGUUGUUCAGAAAAUACAAAAGAAAAAUCAAAACCGCCAUAGGAUCAGCUCACACAGACGGUGGCAUUAAAAUAGAAAAAAACGUCAGCCAGGAAACCAGGGAAGGGAUCGCUAUAGGAAGUGACCACUGGGAGUCUAUCUGCCAUAAUUGAUAAAAAUCUUUCCUGCUUUACGUUUUGAGAAAUCUUUUGCCGCCCAUUAUUAAAAUUUAAAACCACCUUCAAAAGGAGGGUCUCUUAUAAAAACAGAAGCAGGCAAGAAAGAAAGGACACUCAACUCAUCAACCAAAAAAAACAACAGCAAGAAAAACAGCCAAGAGCUCACAAGAGCUCACUUAAAUUCCA